AGCCAGGCGUGGUGGCGCA
Molecule: non-coding RNA, 19 nt
Filed under: Mus musculus (house mouse)
Lineage: Eukaryota; Metazoa; Chordata; Mammalia; Rodentia; Muridae
Source: RNAcentral